RNAcentral lists this ribosomal RNA (434 nucleotides) under uncultured bacterium. Its description in RNAcentral is "partial 16S ribosomal RNA". It matches the Rfam family "Bacterial small subunit ribosomal RNA", at positions 36 to 507 of the family's 1533-position model. The record is from RNAcentral.
CUCUCCCUCUGGCGGCAGGCCUAACACAUGCAAGUCGAACGAACCUUUCGGGGUUAGUGGCGGACGGGUGAGUAACACGUGGGAACGUGCCUUUAGGUUCGGAAUAACUCAGGGAAACUUGUGCUAAUACCGAAUGUGCCCUUCGGGGGAAAGAUUAAUCGCCUUUAGAGCGGCCCGCGUCUGAUUAGCUAGUUGGUUGAGGUAAUGGCUCACCAAGGCGACGAUCAGUAGCUGGUCUGAGAGGAUGAUCAGCCACAUUGGGACUGAGACACGGCCCAAACUCCUACGGGAGGCAGCAGUGGGGAAUCUUGCGCAAUGGGCGAAAGCCUGACGCAGCCAUGCCGCGUGAAUGAUGAAGGUCUUAGGAUUGUAAAAUUCUUUCACCGGGGACGAUAAUGACGGUACCCGGAGAAGAAGCCCCGGCUAACUUCGUG